This 1222-nucleotide long non-coding RNA is filed under the name Sarcophilus harrisii (Tasmanian devil). Its description in RNAcentral is "lncRNA (ENSSHAG00000026093.1)". Lineage: Eukaryota; Metazoa; Chordata; Mammalia; Dasyuromorphia; Dasyuridae. The record is from RNAcentral.
UGAGAUUCUACCUCUCAUUUAACAAAAUUGGCAAAGAUGACAAAAGAUGGAAAUUAUUCACAUUGGAGCAACCCUAAUACAAAGUGAUGAAACUGUGAAUUGGUCCAACCAUUCUGGAAAGGAAUUUAGAAUUAUGCUAAAGAAAUGACUAAAAGGCCCACAUCCUUUGACUCACAGACCACUGCUAGGUAUAUAAUGCAAAGAGAUCAAAGUUAAAGUCUAACCCUAUCUUGCCCGGAAUAAAUCAGUUUAACCUUACACUGUCUCUUACUCUCCAGGCCCUUGCCUCCUUGUCCUUUCAACAAGCACUUCAUACCAAGCCGAGCCCAUUAGCAGCUCUAUUGAUUGUAUUCACUGCUUGUUAAAUAGCCAGAACUAAGGGGGAAAAUCACCAAACUGCCAUUUUUGGAACUACUAUAAAUGUAUGUUGUCUAACCUUAGCUGACUCCUUGCAGCUACAAGACUCAUUCUACUCCUACCUAAUCUGUCUCUUGUCUGACUCUUCCCACAGUGACUAUUCCAGACCUCUUCAUCUCCUCAGCCCUCCAGUGAUAUCCUGUCCCUUCCCUUCUCGUACCCAUCCUCUCAAUUGAGGACCUCACCUGGUCAGAAGUCAGGAGCUCCCUUUUCUCCCCUCUUCCUCACCUCAAGGAACCCAGCCAUCUUCGUCCAUUGUCUUCUUUGCUCUCUUUUUGGCUAGGCCAGGUCCUCGGCACUCCCUCUUGAUCCCAUCCCCUUCCAGCUUCUUUUACCCUCACUAUUAGUCCACUCUCAAACUUUUGGGCUCUCCCAGUCUCCUUCCUUGUCGCCUAUCUUACACAUUUUUAAAAAAUCCCUUGCCAUCCUCACUAGCUCACAACCUAUAUGUCUUCUCCCUUCUUAACUAAACUUUUUGAGAACACAAUGUUCUCUUGGUACCUCCGCUCCCUCUUUUGCUCUGAACCCUCUGCAGUCUAACUUCUGACCGCAACAUCACAUCUCUUUCCAAAAUUACCAGUUGUUUGGGAUAAAAAAAAAAAACAAAACCUACCCAAAUUGACUACUACAGUGAUCAUUCAUAGAAAGCAGAAUUAUUUAUUAGAAUCUCGAGAAGUGCACCCCAUCCUGGUCUGGGAGCCAAAUUUCACAGCAGGAUAGGGCCAGAGCCUUGAAAAUGCUUACAGCUUUUAUAUAUUUCAGAUAAAGAACCUCCAAAAUCCUGCCCUCUAUAUGUUGUGAUUGG